This is a long non-coding RNA of Anolis carolinensis (green anole), 5825 nucleotides long. RefSeq lists it as uncharacterized. NCBI's taxonomy places the organism in Eukaryota, Metazoa, Chordata, Lepidosauria, Squamata, Anolidae. The transcript is spliced from 2 exons. The record is from RefSeq and is a predicted model, not a curated record.
CGUCGCCUCCCUGCUGCUGCCUGGAGCUGUUCCCCGGCGGCCCCGGAUCCUCCGACGCGUCCUGGGAGGGAGAGGCACCGAGACGACGAGGAGAAGGAGGAGGAGGAGGAAGAGGUGGCGGCGGUGGAGUAAACCGAGAGCUGGCCACUUGGCGUGCCUCUGGUGUUGCUAUAAGAAGGUCCUCCAGCACAGGUGAAUAUGCUGCCUUUUAGAGGCACCAAGACAUCGGCGGAGAUCUGCAACCCACAAGCCAUUUCUGCAGCUCAAGUCAAAGUUCCCAAGUGGAUACAACAUUUGGGGAGGAAAUGGGAAUGGAAGCAUGGAAGCGACUGCCUGUUCUGUCACAAAUGUGCAUUUUAUUCCAUGAAAGUACAUCUUGAGUACCAGCGUUGAACUCAUCCAGCUUUUCUUGGGAGCAUGCCACCAAUGGACAGGAUUAAUAUCACAAGGGCCCUGAUCAAAAAGUAAUGAGUCAGAUUGCACUCCUUUGGACAAGAGCUGAGGUGCCAGGGAGAUACAGAAUAAUGCCUUUCUGCACCAAGUCCAGAACUUCAUGUCAGGCAGGCACUGGAAACAGACACUGAAUCCCUAGAGAUGAUCAGUCUCAUAAUAAUCAGUUGUAAACUAUUUUAGCUGAAGUCUGAGCAUCUGGGAUAGUCAGGCCAGAAGUUCCAGAAAUCCAGUCAUAGGCACAGACUAAUCAUGAGAACUUUCAGUCUCAGCCUAAUUGGGGUUUUUUAGAUGUAAAUCAGUUUGUUUACAUUAGAACUUACUUCCUAGUUUGGGCAUAUAUUUGAAGUCAUUUGGUGAAGUCACCCCACUCAAUGGAGAAAUAGGCCUGAUAACUGCAUAAGGCCAAAGUUAGGAUUUUUGAUACAGUUCAUGUUAACACACCACGUGCUUUCAUUCUUUUACACCAGUGGUCCUCAACCUGGGGUCCCUAGAUGUUUUUGGCCUACAACUCCCAAAAAUCCCAGCCUGUUUACCAGCUGUUAGGAUUUCUGGUAGCUGAAGGCCAAAAACAUCUGGGGAUCCUAGAUUGAGAACCAUUGUUUUACACUGAGAGUUGUUAAAGUGAAAACAGAUUCCACAGAGGGUAAGGAUAUUUCUAUAGUAAAACCCUUUCUGUCCCUUUUCAUUGUUGAAUUCAUCCAACACAAAGAAUACAGAUCUCCCUGUGGGAAAUACUUGAGAAACAAGUAAUAGGACAAAGACAGCAUGGAAUUGGGUGGAAUGGAGGUAUAACAUUUUGCCAGAAAAAGAACAAAUAUAUAAGGCCAAAGUCUGGAUAGUACAAAAUGAAAGGGAGAAAGUUAUUGAGCUCUGGAGAGAGUGUAACACAAUACACCUUCCACAUGAAGGAAAAGGAAGAACCAGUGCUUUGGGACACCAAAGUACUAAAGGUUUGUAAAUUAUUUAUUUGCAAUUAUAAUAAUUAUAAAUAUAAACAUUAUAAUGAACAGGCUGUACCAGUUAGAGAAGGAAGCAGGCCACACUGGCACAUAGGGGGAAAAACAAGUCUGUACAAACUCAGAAGAUAAGGCACUAACUUACUGAUAGAUAGGACAGGGUAGAGAAGGGAAUACAAUUAAAAAAAACUGGCUUUGAUUCAGAGACCAGUUAAGCUAGAAAGUUUGAAAUACCAUACAAUUAAUCUUACUAUCCGGAUCUUUAGCUCAAACAAAGUAGCUUAAUUGAUUUCUGGAUCAAACUAUGCAUUAAUAGAGAUAUGUGUGUGUGUGUAUCAGAAACCAUGCUUGUUAAUACCUCAAAAGUAAAUAUGUUGUCUUAAAAAAGAAAAAUGAGCAUGCUGUCAUAUAUGCUUUAGGAAUUUGCUUAAAUAAGCAACAGGGAGAUAAUUUUUUCAUAACAUGCAAGAUAAAAAAUGCAGCAUUAUAAACUCUGAACAAAGAAAGAGUACAAAUUAGUAAAUGCUCAGAAAAACAAGUGUAUUAAAGAUGCACACCUUACUAUAACACCAGAAGAAAGCAUCAAAGGUAUACAGAGAAAUAUAGGCUGACAUCUACUGAAGUAAACACAAACGCCAUAGAGUGUGUGCAGAAAAUGGUAAUGGGGUGAAAUGCAUAAAAUAUUUAUAACAGUCAGCAAUGCACAGAAUAGAUUAUUGUGUUGGAAAUGAAGAGCAUGGUGCUGGAAAUACACCAGGGUUAUACAAUGAAGAUAUUUCAAGGAGUGCAACUGAAGGUGGAACAAGUUAACAUUCAGCUUGUCUUUGUAUAUAUGAACAGGCACAGGAGAUUAUUGGAGGUGAUUUCACUCGUGUACCUUCUUCAUUUACUGCUUCCAACAUCAAGUGUUAACUGACACAUGUAAAGGGUCAUUGCAAAUAAAGCAUAGAUUUUCAAACUACUUCAUAGUAUUUCAAGCACAAUUUAAGAGAUGUCAAAUGGUAAGCUAACAAGUGAUAAUUUGAGCAUGUGCUGGGAAUUGGAAGGUAUACGUUAACUGCCAAAACCCAAUUCUAGAAUUCUCCAAAUGAUGUUCUACAUAUGGGUUUGUGUGAUGAAGCAGAGAUCACAGAGAAACGCAAUAAAUUUUCCAGUGAUUAUAGGUUUGUGUGUACAGGAUGAUGGGUAUUAACCCUAGUCUUCGAAUCUCUAAAAAACUCCCCCAGUUAGUGAGCCCAUUCCAAGGUUACAUGUUUGAGGACUGCAACCUUAGAUAAUAAAUCUGAUUUCCUUCUUUUACCUAAUUCCUUGUGCUUUCAAACAUUUCAAAAUAUUUUAAGUCAAAUAUUUCAGAACAUUUUAGGAUUAUAAUUUUGCAAAAGGCUCCAAGUCACUUAAUGCUGCAUAUGUGCACUUAUGACUGUUCAGUUCUUGUGCUGUGGAUGAGUAACCCACAAACUAUUUGUUUCAAAAUAGUCUCAAAUAUUUUAGUGAGAUUUUAGAUAGAUUCUCAGAGAGCAACCUAAGAGAAUAUUUUACUACAUGAGUCUACAAAAUGUGGCCUUCCAGAUGUUUUUCAAAUGCAACUUCCAUUAUCUUGCACUAUUGGCUGUUAGUUAUAACUGACAUACAUUGCAGCUUGACAACAUCUGAAAAAUGGCAGCUUGGCCAUCUAUUUUGCAGUGCAAUCCGCAGUCUACUUUAAAUGGUAGGUUGUACUUAAACUAGAUGUAUCCCAAUUAAACUUGCAUUAUUCAAAGUAUAGAUAAAUAAAAAUGUGGGUUACACUAAAUAGAAGUCUAAAGGUAAAGGUUUUCCUCUGACAUUAAGUCCAGUUGUGGGAGUUGAUGCUCAUCUCCAUUUCUAAGCUGAAGAGCCGGCGUUGUUCGUAGAUACCUCCAAGGUCAUGUGGCCAGCAUAACUGCAUGGAGCGCUGUAACCUUCCCGCCAGAGCGGUACCUAAUGAUCUCCUAACAUUUGCAUGUUUUCAAACUGCUAGGUUGGCAGAAGCUGGGGCUAACAGUGGGUGCUCACUCUGCUCCCCGGAUUUGAACCUAUAACCUUUCGGUCUGCAUGUUCAGCAGCUCAGCGCUUUAACACGCUGUGCCACUGGGCCCCCCUAAAUAGAAAUUUAUUUAUUUUUAGCCCACCUUUAUCCCAAUAUAGGUACUCAAGGCAGCUUAAGCAUUUCAGUAAAAUAGAAGAUUACAUAUAACAUUUGUGCAUUUCAUUCAUAAUCUUAUUUUGCAUAUGGUCAUCUGAAUUGUCUGUAGUAUGUGAAAUAUGGAAAUGCAGUGGGCCCUUCACAUUCACUAGGGUUAGGGGCACAGGACCUCUGCAAAAGUGGGAAAACCGGGUAUUAAAAAACACCUUUUUAGGUUCUCCAGCAGGAGUCUAUGGUCAAGUUUUAUAGUCAACUUCUACAAGUAGUUGACCAUAGAGUCAUACUAGAGAACAUAAAAUGCUAGAGAAAUAUUCUCUCUAGUAAUCUUUAGUUCUCCCAUACAAUUCUGUCAUCAACGUCCAGCUGAAGCUGACCAUAUGGUUGCAUUGGGGAACCUAGAGAUUUCUAGAAAGAACUUAUUUGUCAAAUCUGUGAAUAAUCAAACACGCAAAGGCAGAGAGUCAACUGUACAUACUUUUAUACCCUGAAGAAACCUUUAGAAGUAUCCAGUUAUCUACAGAUAGUAGGAGCAAAAGUGUUAAAACACAUUCUAUCUUUCAAAAACAAUAAUUUUAGUAGGGAACAAUGAUUAAUACAUCAUAUAGUAAUGAAAAGAUUUUUAAAAAUGUUGUCUGAGUAACACUUGAAGGAUCCUUUCCUUAAUACCAUCACUGAGAAUAAAUUAAGAAUGUAAAUUGUUAAAAUAAUAACACUUGAAACAAAGAUUAUGUGCUGUCCUACAUGGAGAUAAGCAAACAUAAUUUAAAAGCAAUCCAAAUUAGUUCUCUAACAAUGCAUUUAUCUCAGUUAUCACAAACUGCUUCUCUGAAAUAUUUGAAAACUGGAAAUGCAAAUGCAAUAUUCUGGAAAGCAAAGAAACAAAUGUCAGAGAAUAUACUGCAUGAAUCAUGUAGUAAUAUAUAUGUAUUUAUUCAGUCACAAGUGUAUGACACAACCAACAUGUUUGGGAAUGCACAUACAUGUAUUAGGCUUGUAAGAUUAAAUCUACAUUCAUAUUAAUAUUAACUGCUAUAUUAAUAAUUAAAAAUGACUAAAACUCAGAUUGCCCCCAAUUUCAUGGUAAACUAAAAAAAAGUCUGGAAAUUUGGUGUGUUGAGAAAGGACAACACUAAGUAGGUCAAAGCUCUGCUAAUGUUAACUAGGAAAACAUUGGGCAGAUAUUGUAUGUGUUACAGCCAGCUUUACACAACUUAAGAGUCCUCCAGAUGUUUGGGAUACAAUUUUAAUCAGAUCCAGCCAUCAUAGCCAAUAAUGAGAGGUGACAGCAGUUGAAGAAGGCAGCUAUAGAUAUGACUGGAUGCGUUACCAGAUGCACCUGAAAUGUUACUGGGAAAUAUUCCAGAUAAUUCAUCCAGAAUAUCAAAACACCUAAGGUUGGAUUCAGACUAAUUUGGUUACAGUUAGCUCCUAUUGAAUCAAUGAGUUGGAUCCAAAUUUCAUCAGAGAAGAACCACAGCAAUCAAUGGGCUUCAGUUAAUAAUGUUAAGCUUGAUUUCAGCGCUAACACUCUGGAUCCAACACAAUAACUUAAUCUAUUUGAUCGUGAUCUCAGCAAAUAUGUAAUCAAAUUAUAGGGAAGUGCAAAUAUUCUCAUAAUGAGUAGUUAAAAGAGUGUCAGAAUGUGACUAUUAUAGAAAGAAAUCACUGACUAUCAAGGUCAGUAAAUACAGUAUACAAUAUAGUAAGUGUAAGAAUAAAGGCUGUAAAUGUAUCUUUUGCAGAGACUAUAGGCAAUUGAAAACUUGAAUGCUCACACAUUCUUUUGGGACAUUUUAAUUGGUCCUAAGCCCCAAAUAGGUUUUUUAAUUAUUAUUUUUUGUCAUAGAGCAGUACAACUAUGUUUGUCUGGAAAACACUGUUCAAAUGGGAAAAAGUUUAUUAGGUUAUAAUAACAUAUUAUUUUUAAAAAUGGAAAUGCCUGACAGUUAAAUGAACAAAUUCAAUACAAUUUACAAGGAGCUACUGUAUUUCCAUUUCAGAAAAAAGACAUUGCUUUUAUUAGUAUUUUAAUGAAAUGCUAUUCUAUGUAAAUAUAGUCAAUUGCAUAUAUAGUAUUUAAUUGAAGCUGAACUCUAUGUAUGUAUAUUACAUUCAAAUGUAUCUUUUGAAUAGAUACAUAUUUUGUGGACAAAUAAAAAUAAGACUGUUGCCAAUAGAAAAAUAUGUUUUAUUACCUUUAUAAGGAUUUCAUACAAGAUUAUUGUUUCAAUAAAGAUGUAUAUAUUGCCUCA